GUGUCAGGAAUUAUGGGCGUAAAGAGCUCGUAGGCGGUUUGUCGCGUCUGCUGUGAAAGCCCGGGGCUCAACCCCGGGUCUGCAGUGGGUACGGGCAGACUAGAGUGCAGUAGGGGAGACUGGAAUUCUGGUGUAGCGGUGAAAUGCGCAGAUAUCAGGAGGAACACCGAUGGCGAAGGCAGGUCUCUGGGCUGUAACUGACGCUGAGGAGCGAAAGCAUGGGGAGCGAACAGGAUUAGAUACCCUGGUAGUCCAUGCCGUAAACGUUGGGCACUAGGUGUGGGGGACAUUCCACGUUUUCCGCGCCGUAGCUAACGCAUUAAGUGCCCCGCCUGGGGAGUACGGCCGCAAGGCUAAAACUCAAAGGAAUUGACGGGGGCCCGCACAAGCGGCGGAGCAUGCGGAUUAAUUCGAUGCAACGCGAAGAACCUUACCAAGGCUUGACAUGGACCGGACCGCCGCAGAAAUGCGGUUUCCCUUCGGGGCUGGUUUACAGGUGGUGCAUGGUUGUCGUCAGCUCGUGUCGUGAGAUGUUGGGUUAAGUCCCGCAACGAGCGCAACCCUCGUUCUAUGUUGCCAGCGCGUUAUGGCGGGGACUCAUAGGAGACUGCCGGGGUCAACUCGGAGGAAGGUGGGGACGACGUCAAAUCAUCAUGCCCCUUAUGUCUUGGGCUUCACGCAUGCUACAAUGGCCGGUACAAAGGGUUGCGAUACUGUGAGGUGGAGCUAAUCCCAAAAAGCCGGUCUCAGUUCGGAUUGAGGUCUGCAACUCGACCUCAUGAAGUCGGAGUCGCUAGUAAUCGCAGAUCAGCAACGCUGCGGUGAAUACGUUCCCGGGCCUUGUACACACCGCCCGUCAAGUCACGAAAGUUGGUAACACCCGAAGCCGGUGGCCUAACCCCUUGUGGGAGGAGCCGUCGAUAUA
Molecule: ribosomal RNA, 925 nt
Filed under: Arthrobacter luteolus
Lineage: Bacteria; Bacillati; Actinomycetota; Actinomycetes; Micrococcales; Micrococcaceae
Description: bacterial SSU rRNA
Rfam family: Bacterial small subunit ribosomal RNA
Source: RNAcentral